CACUAUGCCCAGCCUUCAACAUCAGCGGUUCACUACACUUAUCCGUUCGCCUGGUUACUACGAGCUCAGCAGUAUCGAAGCUUAAAACCCAAAGGACUUGGCGGUGCUUCAAAACCCCCUAGAGGAGCCUGUUCUAUAACCGAUACUCCCCGUUAAACCUCACCCUUUCUUGUUCACUCCAGCCUAUAUACCGCCGUCGCCAGCUCACCCCUUGAGGGUUAACAAAUGUGAGCCAAACUGGUACAUUACCCGAUAAGUCAGGUCGAGGUGUAGCGUAAGGAAGGGGAAGAAAUGGGCUACAUUCCCUAAUUUAGUGAAUACAGAGGAUUAACCCUGAAACAAGGUAUCCAACGGUGGAUUUAGCAGUAAGAAGGGAAUAGAGUGCCCCUCUGAAGCUGGCUAUGGAGCGUGCACACACCGCCCGUCACUCUCUCCGAGCACCUUCGCCAUAAAUUUAUUUAAACAACAAGAUAUGCAUAGGGGAGGCAAGUCGUAA
This 496-nucleotide ribosomal RNA is filed under the name Scolopsis margaritifera (pearly monocle bream). Its description in RNAcentral is "partial small subunit ribosomal RNA". It matches the Rfam family "Bacterial small subunit ribosomal RNA", at positions 788 to 1491 of the family's 1533-position model. Lineage: Eukaryota; Metazoa; Chordata; Actinopteri; Spariformes; Nemipteridae. The record is from RNAcentral.